Molecule: ribosomal RNA, 446 nt
Filed under: uncultured bacterium
Lineage: Bacteria
Description: SSU rRNA
Rfam family: Bacterial small subunit ribosomal RNA
Source: RNAcentral
AGGAUGAACGCUGGCGGUCUGCUUAACACAUGCAAGUCGAACGGAGUAGAAAUACUUAGUGGCGGACGGGUGAGUAACGCGUGAGAAUCUACCUUCAGGACGGAGACAACAGUUGGAAACGACUGCUAACCCCCGAUGUACUGAAAAGGCAAAUAUUUAUAGCCUGAAGAAGAGCUCGCGUCCGAUUAGCUAGUUGGAGAGGUAAAAGCUCACCAAGGCGACGAUCGGUAGCUGGUCUGAGAGGACGAUCAGCCACACUGGGACUGAGACACGGCCCAGACUCCUACGGGAGGCAGCAGUGGGAAUUUCGCAAUGGGCGAAAGCCUGACGGAGCAAGACCGCGUGGGGGAAGAAGGCUCUUGGGUUGUAAACCCCCUUUUCUCUGGGAAGAACGCAAUGACGGUACCAGAGGAAUCAGCAUCGGCUAACUCCGUGCCAGCAGCCGC